Molecule: long non-coding RNA, 1742 nt
Organism: Rosa rugosa (rugosa rose)
Lineage: Eukaryota; Viridiplantae; Streptophyta; Magnoliopsida; Rosales; Rosaceae
Exons: 3
Source: RefSeq, a predicted model, not a curated record
UCGCCCAAGCUCUGCAGCGCCUCGAACCGGAUCCGGAACUGGAACCGGAACCUACCUCCGACAUCGACGAGGUCUGUACCAGAACCUACCGCCAAGAUCGACAGCUCCUCCUUACCGCCGAGACCGACAGCUCGUCCUUCACCAAACUGUAACAACAGCUCUUUCACACCCAACCCAACCCCAGAUGCCCAACAAACCUGAUCGAGAAGAUCACAUGGACGAGGAUAUACAACAGCACCUAUUGAAAGGAGCAGUGCUUUGGUUUGCGGGGCGGAGCCUUUGGUGGACAAGGCCAUGGAGCUCGACCACAUCAGUGGGACCCUUGGAGGUAAUCGAAAACCCACACCGUUCAUUUAUGAAGAUGCUUCAGAUGCAACCGAAGAAGGAAAUCGUCAUUGAGUUCGUUAAGAACGAUGACUACGAAUAUGUCCGGGUGCUUGGUGCAUUUACUUGUGUAUUACAGGUAGCGAUACUGAUGUUUACCAGUACCUAGAGCCUUUGUACAAUGAGAAGUAAAUUGGUUGAUGGACGUGGAAAGUAUCGCUCUCUUUGCUGUCCAAGAACACAACGACAGGUUUAUACUCGUCCCUAUUAUAUUUGUUUGUUUGUGUUUUACCUGAUUUUUAGUGAUUUUUUUACUUUUACCUUUUGAUGCAGAAUGGUGUGCUUGAGUUUGCGAGGGUGUGGAAUUCAAGGGAAUAAGUGGUUGUUUAAAUUUGAAUUUAACUGGGAAACCUUUGUUUUGGUUCUAAUAGUUCAAAGCAAUAUUCUUUUAAAUGUUGUGCUAUGUUCAGCAAGAUGGGUCGGAGUGCCAAUGCAUAGUCCCUGAAGAAGCUUUGAUGCUGUGAAGUUAUCAAAGGAUCAAGCACCAAAGAAGUGAGCUUUUAUGCCCCUCAGAACCAAUUGAUUUACCCAUUUUCGACUAGUGUUUAGUGUUUGUCCUAGAACCCUAUUUAUACAUAUUCACUAUUGUAUUUAGCUAAUGACAUGUUUAGGAAGAAGAGGCUGGAUGAAGUGUGCCUUGAAAGGUAUGAACAAUAUAGCCAAUCUUAUACGUACAGUCAUGGUUCUUACAAGGUGAGUUUUACAGUUGAAUUACAUAACCCUCCUUCAAAUGUGAUACUCCCAUACAUUGUCUAAUAUAUAUGUUAGAUCUUUAAGUAGAUUACUAUGGGUCAUGUAUGACAGUGGCUAUACUUUGUUUUGAUUUCUUUUUUUCUUCUGUUCUGUAUAUGUUCAAGCUUUGAUUUGGUACUAGAAAAGGGUUCACUCUUUAGCUUUUUCAGUUUCUUUGAUAAACCAAGGGUUUGAAGCUAAUUAUUGUACACAAUCUUUAUGAACAUGUCUUGUAUUUUUUUUUUCUAGUUAUUUACAGUUGAUGAAUGUAUUUAUUUACUUUGGUUUAUUUUUCAUCAUCUAUUGGAUUGCAAAUAAUUUGAAUUUUGUUGUCUAAUGAUAUGAACCGUAUGACGCAGCGGCUGAUGUUUUCCAGUGGAGGGAUAAGAAGCUAUCCAGAGGUUGAUAAUUGCACAAUGUUAGUCUUAGUUUUGUUAGUUUAGCAAGAAUGAUACCUGCAUAUACUGAAAGUAUCAGCAAUUUCAGCAUUGCAGCAGCUCAUCUCAAGAGAAACUAAUCCCCUCUAAAGUCAAGUUCUGUUUGUCACUUAUGUUUGAGGAGGGACUGCAUCCAAUGUAAUUCCAGCCUAUGUUGAAUUUCGGGGCACAUUGAGGAGUCUUACAACG